Molecule: ribosomal RNA, 45 nt
Filed under: Leptolyngbyaceae cyanobacterium GSE-PSE39-07B
Lineage: Bacteria; Bacillati; Cyanobacteriota; Cyanophyceae; Leptolyngbyales; Leptolyngbyaceae
Also listed under: 4 other names
Description: partial 23S ribosomal RNA
Source: RNAcentral
AGUCAAGUUACAAAGGGCUUACGGUGGAUACCUAGGCACACAGAG